This 4095-nucleotide long non-coding RNA is filed under the name Equus caballus (horse). RNAcentral describes it as "lncRNA (ENSECAG00000051971.1)". Lineage: Eukaryota; Metazoa; Chordata; Mammalia; Perissodactyla; Equidae. The record is from RNAcentral.
CAGGACUUUUAUGAUAUAUUCAAGGCCCUGAUGACAGAUGAUAAAAAAAAAAGGAGCCCACCACCCAACAGAGAAAUUUUUUGAAGUGCACAGAUAAUGUCUUCUACAAUUUAUUUUCUCUGCUGAAAAAAGAAACUCAUGCAGGAAACAUUUUAGACCCAAGUAAAUAAAACAGAGAUGCCCGCAAUUUCCUGCAAGUCUGAUUAAAAAUAGGAACUCUGCAAUCAUGAAAGUCGUCAUCUGGCAGCUGGAAGGCCAUACCUUAGGAAGCUGAAAUUGCUGGCAGCUGCAGAAAGCAGUGGGUGGCAGGUGUUCCCGCACGCCCUUUGGGGAGGAAAAGGGCUACAUUUCAGAGGCUUAUAUGCGCUAAUAUACAAAUGGCUUCUAAAUAAUAAAAGCUAAAGCCAUUGCUGAAUGAAGAUCCUCUGUUCUUCCACAUUUUGCAAGGACUGGGAUGUUUGUUUGUGGAAAUGAGACAAGAUGGCUGGCUCACUGACAGUUUAGGUGAGGAAGAUUGUUGCUGAGCUAACACCUGUGCCCAUCUUCCUCUGUUUUGUACGUGGAGUACAGCAUGACUUGAUGAGUGGUGUGUAGGUCCGUGCCUGGGAUCUGGACCUGUGAACCCCAGGGCCGCCGAAGCAGUGUGCGUGAACUUAACCACUAUGCCACCAGAAUGGCCCCCACCUCAUUUAUUUUUUCUGGGGAGUAAAAUGUAUAUGAAAGUGGUAAAUAGGUUAUAAAUUUUAUGCAAAAAAGAACAUUUCCCAAAUUCAAUAUCAUUAAAAAAUACCAAAUAAUCAACAGUUUAUUUUCUUCUAGAAGGGAUGCUUGAGACAAGCAUGGAAACUGAUUACUUGUGUCCAGUCUGUGGUUGGAUAGCUCUCUGGUUAGAGCCUGGUGUUGAUGAGGCUGAAUUAAGAGGUGCAUCACAUAAGCACCAGUGUUAGAAGAACACAGGCUACAGUCUAGGCUUUAGCCUGGUGUCCUGCCAUUAUUACAGGGAGGCCUGAGAAUAUCACCACUACUCCCCAAAUAAUUUUAGCAGUGUUUAUCCUACUGUGGGUAUAAGUUAGAGGUGAAAUACUUGGGCAUUAGAAACAAUCUUUAUGCAAGGUUUUAAAAGCUUAUAAGCCAUUCCCAGUAAUUAUCCAAAAAUCAUCCAACCACCCAAUUCUAUACUUCCUAUAAUAAAUCCAAAGAACAAUGCCUCGCACAGGGUGUCAGGGUGUAAUUCCAGGGUAUGAUUUGAGGAACACCCUAAGGAACUGUUCCCAAUAGGAUUUACCUUAUUCUUUGUCCCCACAUCCUAAUGUGAGAACCCCUGCAAUUCUCAUAUUAGCAAUCCUCCUUCAGGUUAUUUGCAUUUACUUCAGAAGUAACAUCCUAAAAUAUACACAAGGUACUUAGGAUUGGUGACAAAUUUGCACAUCACCCUAUGAUUUCACUUAUCAGAUCAACUAGACCAUUUGUUUAUUCAUUCAACAAGUAUUUGCUCAGAACUUACUCUGUACCAGUCAUGAUACUAGGUGUGUUUACACAAACCAAAAACAGCACAAUGGCAUAGGGUUUUGAGGGUGGGAGAAGGGUGGAAAGAGACCACAAAAUGUCCAGAGCUCAGGGCCUUAUCAGAGGGGAUACCAUAUGUGUGCCUGGUUAGCCUAAUCAGGGGGUAAAAAUUGGCAAAGAGGCAUGUCUGAGGAUAUUGCAUAAAUUAUAACGAUAUUUACAAUUACCUGAGCACUCAUUACGUGCUCAACUGAGUGGUAAUAUGUUAGAGAUUUCUUUAUCUUUAAUUCUUCUCUUACAUGGUGGGUAUUGUGAUGCCCAUUCUUUUGAUGAGAACCUUGAAAUUCAAAAAGGAUGUGAUUCACCCGUGUGCAAGCAGCUGAUCCAUCAUAGAGUCCGGAAUCAAAUCCAAUUCUGCCUUCAGAGUCUGCACUCCUUUCACUGUGUGACAUCCUCCUCCUGUGGGUCUGAAUUAGUAAAACGUCUUCUCCUUCACCCAAAAUGUGGCAACUUAAAAAAAAUUGCUGAGACUUUUAGUGGUCUCUUGAAAAGAGCAAAUACUAAAGGGAAUCUCUCAUCCUUACAGAAGGCUUGUCAUGGUUCUGCCCUCAUCAGUUUUGUUUCCUGAGGAAAAGCUAAGAAGAUACACUAACAGAUUACUCAACAAAUGUUUGCUGAGUGAAUAGCACUAUAAUUAAGCAGUUAGAAGUCACGCAACACUUUAUAACACGUAAAACACAAGAAGAUGUCUCAAUUCCUCCCUAAGACUCAUUUCCCAUUAAAUCCCAAUUUUCCACUUGAGAAACUGCAGACCCUCCCGGCAUCAACAAAGAUUAGACAGUAUUUCCUUGCCAGACUGAUGCUGUUAAGAAGCAAACUGUAACAAAUCAGGGCUGGACCAAACAAAAGACCAAUAAAUGAGUAACUUUGCUCAGUGACCUUCUAGCUUUCUUGGGUUGGCACCUUCCACAGAGAAAUAAAACAGGGCAGAGAAGAUGACCAAAAGUUUCAGGAAGUUCUAUCCCCUUUCUUGGAAUUUGUUAAUGGGGUUGGUUCCCGCGGAUGGCCUCUCUCUUAAUUACUCCUUGGCAGGCUCAGAACCAUGAAGUUCCAUGGAAUGGGUGCGUCUGCAGACUAAUGUUUGUCUCUCCAACUGGCUUAAUGAAAAACACCAGGACCAUGCCCACCCAGACCCCAACAAGAGGGGAACAAAAGCCUUGAUCAGUUGCUUCUGGAGAUGUGGUUGCCCCUAACACCCACUGUUUGUUUUCAGGGCACAGCUGAUGUAACUCAGUAGCAAGUGUCCGGUCGAUGUGAAAGUGAUAGAAACAAAGAGAAAAUUUUCCCCAACAAAAACUAGCAAAGCCUGAAGAAGUCUCCAAACCAUGGAGAAGGGCCUUGUACUUCUCUGACCUGGCCAAAACACCAUUUCCACUUCAACUCUGUGAAGAGCAGCAAACAGAUCUAAGGCUCAUGUAACAUCCUCACCUGUGUAUUCCUACCUGUGAUGCAUCGUAGUGAAGUUAUCUUGGCUCUUGCUUGAUUGAAGGCGGGAAAGAGAAAGAGGCCAGGGUCUUCCCACUUCCCUUACCUGUCUUCCAUCUGUACCCCCAUGGUUUCCAGUGGUGGCUGAGUCUUCUCCUUGUCUCCACUUCCCACUGGACGGGCCCACUAUGGUCCCAGCUUCUAUCAAGUAACCUUGGAUACUGGGCUCCAGUAUCACCAACCCCUCUUUUUGUUCUUCCAGCCCUAGGGGUGAUCAUGUCUUCCUGUUGUUGCUAGUCUCCAGGUUGCCUCGCCAUCUCAUUUGGCUUCUCAGCUCCUCCAUCACCUGUGUGACCUGUUCCCUGAAUAAAUCCACUCUGUUGUCAGCCCUUGAAGUGGUUCCUGUUUUCCUGAUUAGACCUCGACCAAUACAUGUGUAUUCUUCCCUUUACUGUGAUGGCACUACCCAGGAAGGCAAGACACCAGACACAAUUUCAAGUCAUCUGCCUCCAAAGCCAAUACUUUUCCCUCUGUCUCUUCCUGCCAGCUAGACUGUGGGCUCACAUCAAGGGUGUGAAAAAUUGGGAAUGCACUUAGAGGGCUCUCAAAGCGUAUCCAGUGGGCAAAUAAUUCUGGCAUGUUGGGACAUCCUGGGUUUCAUGUGUCCUUGCAGCUAGCUUUUGGCCAGGAGGGAGGUGAUGCCAUUCUGGGAUGAGGGAGUAUGGCUCCGUCCGUUCACCUCUGUGACCUGGGGUAGUGGAAAGAGCUUGAUAUACAAAAAAAAUGCCCUAUAAAUAAAAAUUAGUUUAGGACACUUGUUAGUCAGGACACUUUGUAGCAACAGGAGAUAGAAACUCAAUCGAAUUAACUUAAGCAAAAUUAAAAAAUUAUUGACUGAGAAGUCCAGAGGUAGCACGAGCUUUCAAUAUGGCUGGGUACAAGUUUCGAGCAAUGCCUGCAGGAACCUGCUCUGUCUCUCUCCAUUGCUCUCACUGGCUUUCCUUUGUGCUGGUUUCAUUCUCAGACAGACCCUUUCCCAUGAUUGCAACAGGCCUCCAACAGCUCCAGGUAGCACGAAGUUUUAACACCCUCAGUCUCAGAAGG